Non-coding RNA from Morone saxatilis (striped sea-bass), 82 nucleotides. Lineage: Eukaryota; Metazoa; Chordata; Actinopteri; Moronidae. The record is from the annotation of a RefSeq genome assembly.
ACCAGGAUGGCCGAGUGGUUAAGGCGUUGGACUUAAGAUCCAAUGGAUGUUGUCCUCGUGGGUUCGAACCCCACUCCUGGUA